GCCAGGUGUAGUGGCACAUGCCUGUAAUCCCAGCAGCUCAGGAGGCUGAGACAGGAGGAUCACGAGUUCAAAGCCAGCCUCAGCAAUGGCUAGUCUCUAAGCAACUCAGUGAGAUCCGGUUUCUA
RNAcentral lists this small RNA (125 nucleotides) under Marmota monax (woodchuck). Lineage: Eukaryota; Metazoa; Chordata; Mammalia; Rodentia; Sciuridae. The record is from RNAcentral.